CAGCAGCCGCGGUAAUACGAAGGGGGCUAGCGUUGUUCGGAAUCACUGGGCGUAAAGCGCACGUAGGCGGACUUUUAAGUCAGGGGUGAAAUCCCAAGGCUCAACCUUGGAACUGCCUUUGAUACUGGAAGUCUUGAGUUCGGGAGAGGUGAGUGGAACUGCGAGUGUAGAGGUGAAAUUCGUAGAUAUUCGCAGGAACACCAGUGGCGAAGGCGGCUAACUGGUCCAUAACUGACGCUGAGGUGCGAAAGCGUGGGGAGCAAACAGGAUUAGAUACCCGAGUAGUCCCUGUCUCUUAUAC
Molecule: ribosomal RNA, 301 nt
Filed under: uncultured bacterium
Lineage: Bacteria
Description: partial 16S ribosomal RNA
Rfam family: Bacterial small subunit ribosomal RNA
Source: RNAcentral